GACGAACGCUGGCGGCGUGCCUAACACAUGCAAGUCGAACGGGGUUACGGGAGCUUGCACUGAGACAUGAGAGUGGCGCACGGGUGAGUAAUAUGUAGGAACGUACCUAUUGGUUUGGGAUAACGCUUGGAAACGAGUGCUAAUACCGGAUAAGCCCUGAGGGGGAAAGAUUUAUUGCCGAUAGAACGGCCUGCAUCAGAUUAGGUAGUUGGUGGGGUAAAGGCCUACCAAGCCGACGAUCUGUAGCUGGUCUGAGAGGACGAUCAGCCACAUUGGGACUGAGACACGGCCCAGACUCCUACGGGAGGCAGCAGUGAGGAAUAUUGGGCAAUGGGGGCAACCCUGACCCAGCCAUGCCGCGUGAGUGAAGAAGGUUUUCGGAUUGUAAAGCUCUUUCGGAUGUGACGAUGAUGACGGUAGCAUCUAAAGAAGCCCCGGCAAAACUUCGUG
This 450-nucleotide ribosomal RNA is filed under the name uncultured bacterium. Its description in RNAcentral is "bacterial SSU rRNA". It matches the Rfam family "Bacterial small subunit ribosomal RNA", at positions 28 to 507 of the family's 1533-position model. The record is from RNAcentral.